GGGUGUAGCUCAGUGGUAGAAGUGUGUGCUUAGCAUGCAUGAGGUCCUGGGUUCAAUCCCCAGUACCUCCA
RNAcentral lists this transfer RNA (71 nucleotides) under Camelus bactrianus (Bactrian camel). It matches the Rfam family "tRNA". From Rfam's summary of the family: Transfer RNA (tRNA) molecules are approximately 80 nucleotides in length. Their secondary structure includes four short double-helical elements and three loops (D, anti-codon, and T loops). Further hydrogen bonds mediate the characteristic L-shaped molecular structure. tRNAs have two regions of fundamental functional importance: the anti-codon, which is responsible for specific mRNA codon recognition, and the 3' end, to which the tRNAs corresponding amino acid is attached (by aminoacyl-tRNA synthetases). tRNAs cope with the degeneracy of the genetic code in two manners: having more than one tRNA (with a specific anti-codon) for a particular amino acid; and 'wobble' base-pairing, i.e. permitting non-standard base-pairing at the 3rd anti-codon position. Lineage: Eukaryota; Metazoa; Chordata; Mammalia; Artiodactyla; Camelidae. The record is from Rfam by way of RNAcentral. RNAcentral also lists the same sequence under 1 other name.